UACGUAGGUCCCGAGCGUUGUCCGGAUUUAUUGGGCGUAAAGCGAGCGCAGGUGGUUUAAUAAGUCUGAUGUAAAAGGCAGUGGCUCAACCAUUGUGUGCAUUGGAAACUGUUAGACUUGAGUGCAGUAGAGGAGAGUGGAAUUCCAUGUGUAGCGGUGAAAUGCGUAGAUAUAUGGAGGAACACCGAUGGCGAAAGCGGCUCUCUGGACUGUAACUGACACUGAGGCUCGAAAGCGUGGGGAGCAAACAGG
This 252-nucleotide ribosomal RNA is filed under the name uncultured microorganism. Its description in RNAcentral is "partial 16S ribosomal RNA". It matches the Rfam family "Bacterial small subunit ribosomal RNA", at positions 524 to 776 of the family's 1533-position model. The record is from RNAcentral.